CGAAACGCACCGUUUACCCAGCGCAUUCGAUGAGCCUCUAAACCUAAACUUGCAUCAGUUUACACAAAAUGUAAACCUAAUUUUUGUAUCGUUGCGCCGUCUCCGCCUUCGACCCUCUCUCUAACCAUAGUACAAACCAAUUAUCCAAUGGAUUCCCUCAAAACGAUCGUUCCAUGGAUUCUCACGAAACGGACGUCUUCCAUGGAUUCUCACGAGACGACCAACUUCCAUGGAUUCUCACGAAACGAAAUGCAAGGAACCGGCUGAUUUAUGACCCAAACAUAGAGAAUACAGUACCACAGGUGUCAAAGGAAACACACAAAUCCAUUAAAGACAGUAAAUUUGAAGACCAUUGGAAGCCACAAAACAACUAUCCACUUAGAGGGCUGAUGCAUGGGUGAACAUUCCAGGAAUGAAGAAAACAAAAGUAACUUGCAAAAAUAAAGAAAUGAUUCUAAAACAUCAAAGAAGACUUGGAACAAAAAAUAAAAAAAUGGAAAAAAGAGUUCCGACUUAUGGGCUCGCAUGCAACCUUGGGACACAGCAGUAAAUACUCACCAAGACAAUGUGGUGAAUAAUUUGCCACGACACACAUGGAAGCUACAACACUCAACCAGCUUGGAGGGAGUGACGUGUAGGUAGAUGUGUGGCCAACCCUCACCUCAUAGACCUCUACACUACCUUAUCAUUUGCAGUCUACCAAACUUGCCAAGGAAGCUAAGCACAGUUCCAAAUGCAUUAGCUGUCUCCCAAUAAACACCAAACUCCCAAAACAAACUGAAAUAACCUUAUUCUAACUAAUACCCUCCAUAUCACCUGCAGCUACUUGUAUUCCAAUCAAAUCCAUCCAGGAAAAGAGGGGGUCUCAUAACCAACGGUUACUAUUUGCCAGUGAGGAUAAAAAAACAAAUAAGUGUUUAUUUAUUUGAAGGCUUGCAAAAUGGAAAGCAACUCAUCAGCAGUACAUAAUAAUCCAGUUCCUUGGAAGACAUUUUAAUAAUAGCAGGGUUAAUGUGCAGUGGUCUAUUUAUUUGUAAUUGUUUGUUUAUUUAUUUGUAAAUGAUUAUAUAUAAUGGCUUGUUUAGUUUGUAAGGGUUUUA
Molecule: long non-coding RNA, 1100 nt
Organism: Mercurialis annua (annual mercury)
Lineage: Eukaryota; Viridiplantae; Streptophyta; Magnoliopsida; Malpighiales; Euphorbiaceae
Exons: 6
Source: RefSeq, a predicted model, not a curated record